AUACGUAGGGGGCAAGCGUUAUCCGGAUUUACUGGGUGUAAAGGGAGCGUAGACGGUAAAGCAAGUCUGAAGUGAAAGCUCGGGGCUCAACCCCGGAACUGCUUUGGAAACUGUUUUACUGGAGUGCAGGAGAGGUAAGCGGAAUUCCUAGUGUAGCGGUGAAAUGCGUAGAUAUUAGGAGGAACACCAGAGGCGAAGGCGGCUUACUGGACUGUAACUGACGUUGAGGCUCGAAGGCGUGGGGAGCAAACAGGAUUAGAUACCCUGGUAGUCCACGCGGUAAACGAUGAUCACUAGGUGUCGGCGGCCAUAGGCGGUCGGUGCCGCAGCAAACGCAAUAAGUGAUCCACCUGGGGAGUACGUUCGCAAGAAUGAAACUCAAAUGAAUUGGCGGGG
This 396-nucleotide ribosomal RNA is filed under the name uncultured bacterium. RNAcentral describes it as "partial 16S ribosomal RNA". It matches the Rfam family "Bacterial small subunit ribosomal RNA", at positions 523 to 918 of the family's 1533-position model. The record is from RNAcentral.